UGAGGAAUUUUGCGCAAUGGGCGAAAGCCUGACGCAGCAACGCCGCGUGAGUGACGAAGGCCUUCGGGUCGUAAAACUCUGUCAGGCGGGAAGAAACUGUACUGUAUGAAUGAUAUGGUAUACUGACGGUACCGCCGAAGGAAGCACCGGCUAACUCCGUGCCAGCAGCCGCGGUAAUACGGAGGGUGCAAGAGUUAUUCGGAUUUAUUGGGCGUAAAGGGCGCGUAGGCGGCUUUUUAAGUCAGAGGUGAAAUCCCGGGGCUUAACCUCGGAAGUGCCGUUGAAACUGGGAAGCUUGAGUAUGGGAGAGGUAAACGGAAUUCCUGGUGUAGCGGUGAAAUGCGUAGAUAUCAGGAGGAACACCGGUGGCGAAAGCGGUUUCCCGGACCAAUACUGACGCUGAGGCGCGAAGGCGCGGGGAUCAAACA
RNAcentral lists this ribosomal RNA (428 nucleotides) under uncultured prokaryote. Its description in RNAcentral is "bacterial SSU rRNA". It matches the Rfam family "Bacterial small subunit ribosomal RNA", at positions 355 to 774 of the family's 1533-position model. The record is from RNAcentral.